RNAcentral lists this ribosomal RNA (113 nucleotides) under Lepisosteus oculatus (spotted gar). Lineage: Eukaryota; Metazoa; Chordata; Actinopteri; Semionotiformes; Lepisosteidae. The record is from RNAcentral.
CAAUACAGCCAUAUCACACUGCAACUCACACCUGGCUGCCCACUGAAACUCAGUAGGUGUAAGCCUGGUCAGUACCUGGAUGAGAGACUCCUGGGAAAAACUAAGGCUGCUGC